This is a non-coding RNA of Caenorhabditis elegans, 268 nucleotides long. The record is from Ensembl. Lineage: Eukaryota; Metazoa; Nematoda; Chromadorea; Rhabditida; Rhabditidae.
UUCAUCCUGACUUCGUUCACUUUUCCAACCAAUUAUAGGCGAUCGUAAAAAUACAGCUUUUUGGAGGGAAGAAGCUGAGAGGACACUCUCUCCGCCCCAGCAUAUAUAUAUAUAUAUAUAUAUAUAUAUAUAUAUAUAAUAUAAUAACAGCCACCUCCUCCCCUUAGUUCUUCUGGAUUUACUAUAUCGUUUUGUCGGAGCGGGCGGUGCGCGCCCGCGCGCCGGAGGCGUACCGUUAGCUUUUUCACAUUUUUCGUCCAAUUUUUCG